CAGGGUCCCACAAGAAUAAAGCCGUGACUUUUUGUGCAAGGCGGUCACCAGCAAAACAGAAAACUCUGUGUACUUAAGGCUCCUGGACCAGUGGCCCAACUCUCCAGUAUUUACGAUCACCGCUGACCCUGUAGGGAUUUGGUGCCACAGCUACCUGCCCUUCCACCCGCCCUUCAGCCUCUGCC
Molecule: long non-coding RNA, 185 nt
Filed under: Zalophus californianus (California sea lion)
Lineage: Eukaryota; Metazoa; Chordata; Mammalia; Carnivora; Otariidae
Description: lncRNA (ENSZCAG00015021602.1)
Source: RNAcentral